AACGCUAGCUACAGGCUUAACACAUGCAAGUCGAGGGGAAACGACAUCGAAAGCUUGCUUUUGAUGGGCGUCGACCGGCGCACGGGUGAGUAACGCGUAUCCAACCUGCCCACCACUUGGGGAUAACCUUGCGAAAGUAAGACUAAUACCCAAUGAUAUCCCACGAAGGCAUCCGAAUGGGAUUAAAGAUUUAUCGGUGAUGGAUGGGGAUGCGUCUGAUUAGCUUGUUGGCGGGGUAACGGCCCACCAAGGCUACGAUCAGUAGGGGUUCUGAGAGGAAGGUCCCCCACAUUGGAACUGAGACACGGUCCAAACUCCUACGGGAGGCAGCAGUGAGGAAUAUUGGUCAAUGGGCGAGAGCCUGAACCAGCCAAGUAGCGUGCAGGAUGACGGCCCUAUGGGUUGUAAACUGCUUUUAUAAGGGAAUAAAGUGGGUCUCGUGAGACUUUUUGCAUGUACCUUAUGAAUAAGGACCGGCUAAUUCCGUGCCAGCAGCCGCGGUAAUACGGAAGGUCCGGGCGUUAUCCGGAUUUAUUGGGUUUAAAGGGAGCGUAGGCCGGAGAUUAAGCGUGUUGUGAAAUGUAGUGGCUCAACCUCUGCACUGCAGCGCGAACUGGUCUUCUUGAGUACGCACAACGUGGGCGGAAUUCGUGGUGUAGCGGUGAAAUGCUUAGAUAUCACGAAGAACUCCGAUUG
Molecule: ribosomal RNA, 696 nt
Filed under: uncultured Bacteroidales bacterium
Lineage: Bacteria; Pseudomonadati; Bacteroidota; Bacteroidia; Bacteroidales
Description: bacterial SSU rRNA
Rfam family: Bacterial small subunit ribosomal RNA
Source: RNAcentral